Molecule: small nuclear RNA, 105 nt
Organism: Pollicipes pollicipes
Lineage: Eukaryota; Metazoa; Arthropoda; Thecostraca; Pollicipedomorpha; Pollicipedidae
Source: RefSeq, a predicted model, not a curated record
UGAAGCUCUGGCUGAACUCAUCUAAGAUUGGUAUAAUACAAUGAAGACAAGUAUGGCCCUAGGUACAAGGAUGUCAUAUAUAAUCAAGAAGCAUUCCACCUUUUC